GACGAACGCUGGCGGCGUGCUUAACACAUGCAAGUCGAACGAAGUGGCGAACGGGUGAGUAACGCGUAAUCAACAUGCCCUUCAGAGGGGGACAACAGUUGGAAACGACUGCUAAUAACGCAUACUGAGGGAGGGGAUUGCGUCUGAUUAGCUAGUUGGAGGGGUAACGGCCCACCAAGGGGAUGAUCAGUAGCCGGUCUGGGAGGAUGAACGGCAACAGUGGGACGGAGAGACGGGCCAGAGUCCUACGGGAGGCAGCAGUGGGGAAUCGUCCGAAAUGGACGAAAGUCUGACGGAGCAACGCCGCGUGAGUGAUGACGGCCUUCGGGUGGUAAAGCUCUGUUAAUCGGGACGCGGUACCGGAAUAGAAAGCCACGGCUAACUACGUGCCAGCCGCCGCGGUAAUUC
Molecule: ribosomal RNA, 408 nt
Filed under: uncultured bacterium
Lineage: Bacteria
Description: partial 16S ribosomal RNA
Rfam family: Bacterial small subunit ribosomal RNA
Source: RNAcentral